ACAAGUGUGAACACCUGCUGAAUUUAAGCAUAUAAGUAGGCAGAGGAUGAGAUACACAACUGGAUUGGCACAGUAGUUGCGAAUGAACAGCAAAUUGCUCAAAUUGAAUUUGGGGACACCUGGCCCUCAACAUGAAAUCUCUGAAUGCUCCACCAACAAAGGCUCAGGAACAAAACCAUUCUGGAGGGGAUUGUGAAAGUGCCAACAGGGGUGAGAAUCCUGUGGUUCUUGCAGACCUUGUUCACGGUGUCUGCUUUCCAGAGUCAUGCUCCUUGGAACUGGAGUGCAAAGUGGGUGGUAGCUUCCACACAAAGGCAAACACACCACUGAGACUGACAGUGAAGAAGUACCGUGAGGGAAGUAUGAAAAGGACUUUGGAAAGAGAUUUAAAAGAGCCUGCACUUGCUGGACAACAAGCAUACAGAAUGAUCGUGUGAUUGGACAGAUUGCUGUGUGAAUACAGGUAACAAUCCUGUGCUGCAUGCGGAGAUUCUUUCUUGGUGUGCCAACUAGUGUGAGAGCAGUCAGUAUCUGUGGGCAGUGCUUGGGGUGUGUCUUGUGUCACAUGUGAUUGUAUGUACCUGGUCUGAACAUGUGAAACUGCAUCUACUGGCAAUGAAGAGUUAUGCAUGCAGUUGCUUUCACCAACGGUUCACCUUGUCAACGACAUGGGUGCCUUUCUGUGUGACCCGUCUUGAAACACGGACCAAGGAGUCUAGGCAGUAUGCAAGCUUGGGGGUGACAAACUCUGAGCACAAUGAAGCUGGAGUCCCGGAAAUGGCAGGGGUGUUCAACCAAGCAACAGGACAAGGUUUGAGUCUGAGCACACUUGUUAGGACCCGAAAGAUGGUGAACUAUGCCUGAAAAGGGCCAAGCCAGGGGAAACUCUGGUGGAGGCUUGCAGCGGUACUGACGUGCAAAUCGUUCGUCACACUUGGGUAUAGGGGCGAAAGACUAAUCGAACCAUCUAGUAGCUGGUUCCCUCUGAAGUUUCCCACAGGAUAGCUGGAGCUGAGGAGUUUCAUCAGGUAAAGCGAAUGACUGGAGGAAUUGGGGGUUGUCUACUUCUGACCUAUUCUCAAACUUUUAAUGGGUAUGCUGCAGUGGUUGCUUCACUGAACCUGCAAGAAAUUCCGUGUUCAAGUGGGCCACUUUUGGUAAGCAGAACUGGCGAUGAGGGGUGAACCUGAUGAUUGGUUGAGGCACUCAACUUCGUGCUCAUCAGAUACCUGAAGGGUGUUGGCUCAUUUUGACAGCAGGACGGUGGUCAUGGAAGUCGAAAUCCGCUUGGGAGUGUGUAACAACUCACCUGCCGAAUGGACUGGCCCUGAAAAUGGAUGGUGCUCCAGCGCGUGGCUGAGACUAUCCCACCUACUUUUGAGCAAAAGCCCAUGAUGUGUAGGAGGGUAUGGGAGUUUGCAAUGAAUUGCCUGGCAAGAACCUGCAUGGAGCAGCUUCUGGUGCAGAUCUUGGUGGUAGUAGCGGAUAUUCCAGUGAGACCUUUGAAGACUGAGGUGGAGAAGGGUUUCAUGUGAACAGCACUUGGACAUGGGUUAGCCGAACCUGAUGGAGCCAGAUUCUGCCAAUGAGGCCUUGCCUGCUCCUUGACAGAGAAUGGGGUUAACAUUCCUCAGCCAGGACGUGGAUAAUGCAUGGUGACAUAAGCCAACUUGGCAAUACAGGGGGAAGCCUUUGGAAGCGUUAUCUCUUCUUUUUGAUGGUGUAGUGCCCUGGAAUCAGAUUGUUUGGUGGUAGGGAUUGUUGAUGAGCAGAGCACCUUGUUUGCUGAGGUAUCUCAGUGUGCUUCCAGUGGUCCAUGAAAAGCCUGAGGAAGGACUUAUUCACCCCCCUGGUCGUGCCCACAACCGCAUCAGGUCUCCCAGGUUAGCUGCCUCUGGUCUGUGGAAUGAACUGGGUGAGGGAAGUCGGCAAAUUGGAUCUGGAACUUUGGGAAAAGGAUUGGCUCUGAGGGGUGGGUGUGGGGAUCCUUGUGUUGAUGCUUGAACCAAGCAAGAGCUGCUUGAUGCCACUGGUAGACAGCGGAUUUGUGCACGGUGAGAACUGCUGGACAAGGAGUGUUCUGUUGAGCUCAUUUUCACACGAUGAACAACUGGCUUAGAACUGAUUCGGGCAAGGGGAAUCCGACUGUUUAAUUGAAACAAAGCAUUGCGAGGGCCUCAAAGGGUGGUGCCACAAUGUGAUUUCUGCCCAGUGCUCUGAAUGUCAAAGUGAGGAAAUUCAACUAAGCGCGGGUAAACGGCGGGAGUAACUAUGACUCUCUUAAGGUAGCCAAAUGCCUCGUCAUCCAAUUAGUGACGCGCAUGAAUGGAUUAAUGAGAUUCCCACUGUCCCCAUCUACUGUCCAGCGAAGCCACAGCCAAGGGAACGGGCUUGGGUAAAUCAGCGGGGAAAGAAGACCCUGUUGAGCUUGACUCUAAUCUGACUUUGUGAAAUGACUUAGGAGGUGUAGGAUAUGUGGGAGCUCUGGUGAUCUUGAAAUACCACUACUCUUAAUGUCACUUUACUUACUCUAUCAGACUGUGGCCUGCUUCCCAGCAGGUUUUUGUUUCAAGGCAUCUCAUCUGACUUGUUGACUUGCGUAGAGGACGUAGUCAGGUGGGCAGUUUGGCUGGGGCGGCACAUCUGUAAAAGGAUAACGCAGGUGUCCCAAGGUAAGCUCAAGGAGAACAGAAAUCUCAUGUGGAUCAGAAGGGGAAAUGCUUGCUUGAUUUUGCUUUUCAGUGUGAAGACAAACUGUGCAAACAUGGCCUAUCGAUCCUUUGGGUCUGAGGGAUGUUCAGCUAGAGGUGUCAGAAAAGUUACCACAGGGAUAACUGGCUUGUGGCAGCCAAGCGUUCACAGCGACGUUGCUUUUUGAUCCUUCGAUGUCGGCUCUUCCUAUCAUUGAGAUGCAGAAGUCCCAAAGUGUCGGAUUGUUCACCCGCCAAUAGGGAACGUGAGCUGGGUUUAGACCGUCGUGAGACAGGUUAGUUUUACCCUACUGGUCAGUUGAUGUUGCAACUGUAAUCGAAGUCAGUACGAGAGGAACACUUCGUUUGGGCACUUGGCAAAUGUGGUUAGUUGAGAGGCUAAUUCCCCCAAGCUAUUGUCUGCUGGAUCAUGACUGAACGCCUCUAAAAUCGAAUCCAUGCUGGUGUGCGAAUGUCUUUCAUCAAUUUUCAAGUGUAUAUGCCCUUUAUGAGGUAAUUGAGGCUUGUUCUGGUUGGUAUUGUCUCUGUACAAAGAAGUGCAGUGGAUAUGGUAGAUUCAUCACACAUGAUCUUGGGAAUCUGGGCAUUGUAAGUGCUGAGAGUGGUCAUAUCCACCACGAUUCACUGAGAUCUGGCCCAUGCUUG
Molecule: ribosomal RNA, 3356 nt
Filed under: Gambierdiscus australes
Lineage: Eukaryota; Dinophyceae; Gonyaulacales; Pyrocystaceae
Description: partial Eukaryotic large subunit ribosomal RNA
Rfam family: Eukaryotic large subunit ribosomal RNA
Source: RNAcentral